UGAUACCAGGGUCAAAAGGUCUAAGCCCACAUGAGCUUGCUCAUAGGUGGGUGAAAGACCUUAGGACCCGCCCCGAUAUGAGCAUAAAAGUGGGGGCGUAAGCACCACGAUAUGCGAAUGUUGGGUAGGAUUGUGGGAGCACGUAGUGCGUAACAAUCCGUAGGUAUCA
Molecule: small RNA, 169 nt
Rfam family: Clostridiales-1 RNA
Source: Rfam